Molecule: ribosomal RNA, 465 nt
Filed under: uncultured bacterium
Lineage: Bacteria
Description: partial 16S ribosomal RNA
Rfam family: Bacterial small subunit ribosomal RNA
Source: RNAcentral
CCUACGGGAGGCAGCAGUAGGGAAUCUUCCACAAUGGGCGAAAGCCUGAUGCAGCAACGCCGCGUGGGUGAAGAAGGUCUUCGGAUUGUAAAACCCUGUUGUUAGAGAAGAAAGUGCGUGAGAGUAACUGUUCACGCUUCGACGGUAUCUAACCAGAAAGCCACGGCUAACUACGUGCCAGCAGCCGCGGCAAUACGGAGGUGGCAAGCGUUAUCCGGAUUUAUUGGGCGUAAAGGGAACGCAGGCGGUCUUUUAAGUCUGAUGUGAAAGCCUUGGGCUUAACCGGAGUAGUGCAUUGGAAACUGGGAGACUUGAGUGCAGGAGAGGUGAGUGGAACUCCAUGUGUAGCGGUGAAAUGCGUAGAUAUAUGGAAGAACACCAGUGGCGAAGGCGGCUCACUGGUCUGUAACUGACGCUGAGGUUCGAAAGCGUGGGUAGCAAACAGGAUUAGAUACCCUGGUAGUC